This is a long non-coding RNA of Arachis duranensis, 441 nucleotides long. RefSeq lists it as uncharacterized. NCBI's taxonomy places the organism in Eukaryota, Viridiplantae, Streptophyta, Magnoliopsida, Fabales, Fabaceae. The transcript has 2 exons. The record is from RefSeq and is a predicted model, not a curated record.
UCUCACAUUCACUCUAACCCAAUUUUGGUUUACAUUUCAAGCUGGGUUUUCUGGCCAGAGAUUCUAUGACGAUUGGUUUCAGUCAUCAUAUAAUGUCAUCUUCACAGCACUGCCUGUGAUCAUUGUUGGACUAUUUGACAAGGAUGUCAGCGCUUCUCUGUCCAAGAAGUAUCCUGAACUAUACAUGGAGGGAACAAGAAAUGAGUUUUUAAGUGGAGAGUUGUGGCUAUAUGGCCUUUUUUCUCUGUUCAUAUCUUGUCUAUGCAUGCUAUUUGUGGGAGGUAUCAUUCCUCCAUUGGGGAUGCAUGACUAGUUUACAUAAGGAUGCAUCACUUUGGCAUGAAACAUUACAUACAUUGAUUGUCACAAAAAAGAGUCCUUUAAUCAAAAUAUCGAUGUUAUUACCAAUUUCCACUUUCAAGAACUAUAUACAUUUUACUA